AUUUAAGUAGUUUUAUUAAAAAUAUAGAUUUGUGGAUUCUAAGAAGCAUUAUUUGUCUUAAAUU
Molecule: transfer RNA, 64 nt
Filed under: Mileewa alara
Lineage: Eukaryota; Metazoa; Arthropoda; Insecta; Hemiptera; Cicadellidae
Description: tRNA-His
Source: RNAcentral